Molecule: long non-coding RNA, 581 nt
Filed under: Elaeis guineensis (African oil palm)
Lineage: Eukaryota; Viridiplantae; Streptophyta; Magnoliopsida; Arecales; Arecaceae
Description: long non-coding RNA (EGUI_LNC059019)
Source: RNAcentral
CUCGUUAUCUCCUAAUGUGUGUGUGGAAUUAUUGGAAAGAAGGGUGGUGCCUUCCUCCAUUUUUGAUAGGAUCAAGGGGUGCCAACCCCUAGAUAAUGCAAGAAGGGCCCACCCCCUCUUGUGGGUUGGCAUGGAAGGAGAGAAAGAGAGGGGCUAUGCCCCCUCUCUUAUGCCAUGAAACCUUAAGGGGGCGCCAACUACCUACCCUAUAUUCAUGGGGCAUCCACUUAGAUUGCCUUAUCUGACUGGAGCACCUCAUAUGAUUAUCAAAAAGGGCUAAUGUCCUAUCAAUUAAGUCUAAUUUUAAUAAAAAAAAUCACAUUAAAAAGGUAGAAAUCUUUAUGAGAUAAGGACGUACCUUUUUAAGUUAACUGGUUCUUCAUUUGGAUCAAGAUAGAAUCUAUUUAAAGAGACAAUCUCUUAGGGUUUAGAAAAUAGAAUUUUGUGAAACAAAAAUUCCUCUCCCUUCUCCAUGCCACACCUUCUCUCCUUCUUCUCUUUCCAAUGCCCAAAGGUUGGGCGUCCCACCUUUCUACAUGCCAAGGUUGAAGAGGCUUUCUUCUACUACGAGGAACGAAGAG